This 200-nucleotide ribosomal RNA is filed under the name uncultured bacterium. RNAcentral describes it as "partial 16S ribosomal RNA". It matches the Rfam family "Bacterial small subunit ribosomal RNA", at positions 370 to 588 of the family's 1533-position model. The record is from RNAcentral.
AAUGGGCGCAACGUGAUGCAGCAACGCCGCGUGCGGGAAGAAGGCCCUAGGGUUGUAAACCGCUUUCAGCAGGGAAGAAAAUGACGGUACCUGUAGAAGAAGGUGCGGCCAACUACGUGCCAGCAGCCGCGGUGACACGUAGGCACCAAGCGUUGUCCGGAUUUAUUGGGCGUAAAGAGCUCGUAGGCGGUUCGGUAAGU